Molecule: ribosomal RNA, 248 nt
Filed under: uncultured bacterium
Lineage: Bacteria
Description: partial 16S ribosomal RNA
Source: RNAcentral
CUGCUGCCUCCCGUAGGAGUCUGGUCCGUGUCUCAGUACCAGUGUGGGGGACCUUCCUCUCAGAACCCCUACGCAUCGUCGCCUUGGUGGGCCGUUACCCCGCCAACUAGCUAAUGCGACGCAUGACCAUCCGUAGCCGGAAUCGCUUCCUUUAAACCCGAGGAGAUGCCUCCUCGGGUUGUUACGCGGUAUUAGACGGAAUUUCUUCCGCUUAUCCCCCUGCUACGGGCUAGGUUCAUACGUGUACU